UACGAAGGGGGCUAGCGUUGUUCGGAAUCACUGGGCGUAAAGCGCACGUAGGCGGAUGUGUCAGUCAGGGGUGAAAUCCCGGAGCUCAACUUCGGAACUGCCUCUGAUACAGCACGUCUUGAGUCCGGAAGAGGUGGGUGGAAUUCCUAGUGUAGAGGUGAAAUUCGUAGAUAUUAGGAAGAACACCGGUGGCGAAGGCGGCCCACUGGUCCGGUACUGACGCUGAGGUGCGAAAGCGUGGGGAGCAACAGG
This 252-nucleotide ribosomal RNA is filed under the name uncultured bacterium. Its description in RNAcentral is "partial 16S ribosomal RNA". It matches the Rfam family "Bacterial small subunit ribosomal RNA", at positions 524 to 775 of the family's 1533-position model. The record is from RNAcentral.